GGGGCCGGCCGCCUGUCAGAGGGAGGUGGCGAUGGUGCGCUCGGUGUCGGCGGUGGCUGCGGCGCCUUCCUCGGUCGGUGCGCAGGGAGGAGAAGAUGACUGACCAACCGACUGGCUGAAUGAAUGAAUGGCGGACCCGAGCGCGCCAUGAGGAGCCUGCCGAGCCUGGGCGGCCUCGCCCUGUUGUGCUGCGCCGCUGCCGCCGCCGCCUCAGCCGCCGCGGCGGGGAAUGUCACCGGUGGCGGCGGGGCCACGGGGCAGGUGGACGCGUCCCCGGGCCCGGGGCUGCGGGGCGAGCCCAGCUAUCCCUUCCCUAAGGCGACGACUCCCACGACCCAGGCCCCACGGACCGGACCCCCGAGCGCUACCCCGCACCGAUCCCUGGCUGCGACCUCUCCAGCCCAGUCCCCGGAGACCAGCCCUCUUCGGGCGACGGCCGGACCCGCUCCGACCACCGUUCAGACGCCGCCUGCCCCCUCGCCAACCACCCCUCCGGCGGUGGAACGCACUCCGACCACCCCUCGGGCGCCGACCAGACCCGCGCCGGCCACCCUCUCGACAACCACUGGCCCGGCGCCGACCACCGCUGUAGCAACCACCGUUCCGGCGCCCGCCACUCCCCGGACCCCGACUCUCGUUCUCCCCAGCACCAGCAGCGCCUCGUCCACCCCACCUGCCACCGAGGCUCCCUCCCCUCCUCCCUCAGAGUAUAUAUGUAACUGCUCUGUGGUUGGGAGCUUGAAUGUGAAUCACUGCAAUCAGAGUACAGGGCAGUGUGAAUGUCAACCAGGUUAUCAGGGACUUCGCUGUGAAACCUGCAAGGAGGGUUUUUACCUGAAUCACACAUCUGGGCUCUGUCUGCCGUGUAUCUGUAGUCCACAUGGAGCCUUCAGCAUGCUUUGCAACAGUUCUGGGAAAUGCCAGUGCAAAAUAGGUGUCACUGGUUCUACAUGUGACCAAUGUCAAGAUGGAUAUUAUGGCUUUAGUAAGAAUGGCUGUUUGCCCUGCCGAUGCAAUAAUCGGUCUGCCAGUUGUGAUGCCGUCACAGGUGCUUGUUUAAACUGCCAGAAAAAUAGCAAGGGAGGUCACUGUGAAGAAUGCAAAGAAGGAUUUUAUCAGAGUCCUGAUGCUACUAAAGAAUGUCUUCGCUGCCCUUGUUCAGCAGUGACAUCUACAGGCAGUUGCACGAUAAAUUUGGGUGAAUUGGAACCUAAAUGUGUCCGCUGCAAAGAUGGUUACACAGGCGAGAACUGCAAUAAAUGUGAAUAUGGCUAUUACAAUUUUGACAGCAUCUGUAUAAAGUGCAAAUGUCAUGGCCACGUGGACCCAAUUAAAACUCCAAAGAUUUGUAAGCCCGAGAAUGGUGAGUGCAUCAACUGCCUCCAUAACACCACCGGGUUUUUUUGUGAGAACUGCCUGGAAGGUUAUGUUCGAGACUUCGAGGGAAAUUGCAUCAAGAAAGAAGUUAUUGUUCCAACACCUGAAGGUUCUACCAUUUUGGUUUCCAAUGCCUCUUUGACCACAUCAGUGCCCACCCCUGUUAUAAAUAGUACAUUUACCCCCACAACCCUGCAGACUAUCUUUUCAGUAAGCUCUUCUGAAAACAGCACUUCAGCUUUAGCUGAUGUAUCAUGGACCCAAUUUAACAUCAUCAUUUUGACAGUCAUCAUCAUUGUGGUGGUGCUGCUAAUGGGAUUUGUGGGGGCUGUAUAUAUGUACCGUGAAUACCAAAACCGGAAACUCAAUGCCCCCUUUUGGACCAUCGAGCUGAAAGAAGACAAUAUCAGUUUCAGCAGCUACCAUGACAGCAUUCCCAAUGCAGAUGUAUCGGGAUUGUUGGAAGAUGAUGGCAAUGAAGUGGCUCCCAAUGGGCAACUGACCCUGACGACACCCAUACAUAACUACAAAGCCUAAGGAGCUAGAGCUAUUCUGGAUUGUUAAACCACAGUGCUUACUAAAACAGCAUCAGUCCCUGGGCCAGACAAAGCCUGGGUGGAGUUUGCUGAGAAAGCAAAGGCCAAUAGUGCAUCUGAAAUUUUUGGGUACAAAUUUAUAAUGUGCUUAGCCUAUCUGUUGCUCUUAGAUUUCCCAUGAAGAUCUGAAGUAUUCACUGUCACUAAAGACCCGAAGUAAAGUAUAUUUUUGUACCAAACCACAUGGGACUAAGGAAAGGCUGAACUCCAUAGCACAGCCCAAAUCCACUUUGACCUUCAAAUAGACUUGUGGGGAAAUGUUCACCAAACCAAUGGUAACAGGAUAAUGGAUGUGGAGGGGGAAAGGACUGCUGGAAGACUUCAUCUCCAUUCCUGAAACACAUUUUUAUUUACAGGAGGGUCAGGGAUUAUAUUAAUUUUACUGUACUAAAAGACAUCAUUGAGGAAAAGCUGGCAUCUAGGCUGUAUCUUGAUUGUUUCUAGAAUAGGGACAGAAAAGUCCCAAGAAGGUCUUUAGAAGGGCUUGAUUUUUCCUCCAAGGAUUCUUGCCCAAUGAUGACAUUAAAGCACAGGAUAAACUUCUAAUGGUAAAGAGAGAAAGGCAGCAUUGGGGAGCAGGAAGCUGAUGGUCCCACUCAGGGUCUCAGUGUAAAUGACUGAUUGUCUGAAAAUAAGGAAUAUUCCUGUAUCUAGAGAAAUAAGAUGUACAUAGUUAAUGUAGCAUAUCUGGUCAACAUUGUAUUUCUAUCUAUUUGUAAAAAAAAAUCAUGUCAUAUUUUAUCAUCUAGAAUUUAUUUGUACAGCAGUUAAUGGCAUUGUAAAAAGAAAAUAUGGGAUUGGUUAAAAUAUUGUAAAAUAGAUGGCAAUAUUGCUAGAGCUGGGACUCUGGUGAGCAUCAGUCAUUUUCAGUCCCUGUUUGGACAUUGUUGAAAUUUAUGAGGUUGAACGUUUCUAGUUUUUCUUUCCUUUCUCAAUUUAAAAGUAGAGUUAUAUGCUCUUUAAUAUAGAUUCAAGCAAUAGAUUUCGAAGUCAAUAAUUGUUAAGCUGGGACACAGGCUGCAUUCUCCAAAAUACUUAAUUAGAUACUAGGCACUCUAUAUAUUUUAUAUAGAUUAAUAUAAAACAUAUCCUAAUUAAAUAUGUUUUUCCUAAAUGUAGGAGACAGUCUUCCAAAGGAUAGAAAUAUUUUAGUUCCAAAAGAAAGCCAUUAUAAUCACUUCAGAUUCCUAGUUUUCAUGCUUGUGAAAUAUGAGGAUUUAUACCCGCUCCCCCCAAAAUAAAAACCCUCCAUUUGAACAUAGCCCACCAGUCAUUUGCUGUGAGGUGUGUGCCAUCUCUCUGCAGUGCUAUAGUUCUCCCAUCUUCUUGUCUGGUUAGAGGAUAACUCUGUAGUUUGGUGAGCAUAGUUAGUACUUGGUUUUAGAUACAAUUUUUUCCUAGAGGCCAACUGUUGCUCUCAUUUAUUAUGAUGUUGACAGAUUGUAGAUUAAGCAAGCUAGGAAAGGUGGCCAGAAGUCAAAUAUAGAUAUUUAUUAGGAGGAACAGCAAACUGUGAAGUGGAUAGAAAAACACAAAGACUUUUUUUUAUCAGAUUAGACUUAGGAAAUCCAAGUUGACCCCUUUGCCUAACUUCCUCAGAGAAAAACCUAGAACUUGGUCAUCCCUUUAUAGAAUACCCCUAAGUUGUUCUCAGGGUUUGGAGAUGAUGCUCUGUAGGAUGUACAGACAAAUAAUCUACUUCUGGUAACCUGAGGAUGCUCUGCGUAUUUGGCCAUUGCUCACAAGAGUAGAGAUUACAUUAUAUUAAAAUUAUUUAAUAUUUCUACAGCCCUUUGUAGUUUGCAAAGCACUUUUCCAUGUGGGUGUCCUUUGUUCCUCACCACAGCCCCUGAGGAAGUAAUUAUUGUCGCCACUUUGUAGAUGAGACUGAGGCACAGAGAGGUUCAAUGUCUUGUUCAAGGCUACACAAUGUGUGUCAUUAUUUGGCUUGGAAUCGGGACUUCUAGUUCUGAAGCACAUAUUCUUUCAACUAUACACUGAUGCAGAAAUUUCCUAGCCAUGGACACAAGAAGGCUGGGAGGAAGAGUUCCAUUUGUGGAUGUUUCUAAUGUUUUUGUAAGUACCAGAUAUAGUUGAGGGACAUACAGCUGUGAAGGACUUUGUGGAGAGAACACAGGAGGAAAAUUAUCUGAAGCCAGCGUUAGUGAUAAGAAAACACAACUACCAGUUUGUGCUUCAUUAAAGUGAAUUAACCCUUCCAAGCAGGGAGGUAAAACUUGCCUUCCCAGCAGUUGCUGCAUAGUUAUGUAUGGACUGUGCACUGCAUAAUUCCAAGGAAUUGUGCAAUUUGGCAUACCUGCCUUUCUCCCAGAUACCCGUGCCAAAAAGAAUCAAGAUUGAGGAUGGUGAGAAAUAAACAUUUGUUAAAAGGAAGUUAACCCAAUGUAGAAAGAAGGAGUGUUUGUUGGAGUCUAAGAGCCAAAGCCAAGUAGUUAGGAUUCCGGCCAUGUAGAGAUUCCUUAAAACAGACCUUAAUGCAAAAAUUGCAGUAAUCAAAUAACAAAGAAUGUUGACCUUUAAAUACUUGUUAAUAGCUCCUAGGUCAUGUUCUUAAUUUUUCCCAAAGGAAAAAAAAAUUAAGGUCUUAAAAUUUGUUUUAAAUAAUAUUCUUUAGUGGCCCCAGCAUUUUGCUUGUGGAAAUAAUUUUGUCCUAAAAUAUAAAUCAAUCAUGAAAUGAUCUAUUACUGAAAUCAGACUAGGAUACUAGUAUGGAAUGCACAGCACAAUAUUCAUUCAUCUGAAGGCAUGAUCCCCAUGAAUAAUGGUGUCCAACAGCAGGACCCCAUCAGUCCUUUAGAAGCCCUAAUAUUGGAAGAAUUUUUGUCUAAGGAUUAGAAAUAUGUUUAUUUUUAAAUAAGACUUAUGUGAGUCUUACUGAGAAAUGACAGAUACUGCUCCUAAGGGAUACUUUUUAAUCUUCAUUAAUUCAUUUUAGGAAGCCCUUAUGCAUUUCUGAUAGAUGCCCUAGGUAGUGUUCUUAAGUAUGUCUUUGUCUUCCCUUACUUCCCCCUCCCUCCCUCCACCCUCUACCUCCCAGGACUCUCUUAUUUAUGGACUUUCUCAGUUAUAGAGAAAAAGUGAUAAUAAAAACUAAACCUCAUUUAUACUAAGGUCCUAUGGACCUAGUGUGUUACCUUUUCCAGGUAUACCUGGAUUUUAAGAGUGAAGAACAGACAGAGCAGACAGGAUGGAAGGAGAGAGACUUUUUUGGACAGGAUUUGUUGAAGCCUCAAAUUAUGUGGCUACUCUCUAGCCCCAGGACAUUUAGCCCUUCUUGUACUGUGAUGGAAGCAGAGAGCUAAAGUAACAGUACUUCUUGACAGCUUCAAUUGGAAAUGGCUCCAGUACUUUUUGUGGGACAUUUGAUGAACAUAACACCACUUAUAAUGAAUGUCUGGUUCUUAUAUUUUGGGGUAUGUAGGUAGGAUUUGAAUUUUCACAUCUCAAGGAAAACUCUCUGAACAAAAAGUUCAGAGAAGUAAAAGGCAACCCAGUAUAACCUAUUGGAGCAAGGAAGGCAUUUUUGGCCUCAUUCAUAAGGAACCUUUGGCUUGUUAUGAUCUUUUUGACAGUAAGGAGUUUGCGAGUUAAAAUGUGUGCAGGGGAGUAAUGGAAGGUUAAUGCAUUCUUCUCUUUAACCCUGAGCCAGUGACUAUGCCAAGGGGAAAAGCAAGAAGAACACACUGAUUCAUCUGAAGAAGUCAAAUAAUAUGGAAUGGACUAAAGGUUAUGGAUCAUUAAAAUGUCAGUGGUUGAAUGAUGCUUUUUCAAAGGCGAUUGGGAAUCUUUCUCUCUUGUUACUUAUGCAUAUGCAAUAACUACAGCAGCAGCCCUAGAAUGUGAGCCCGGGGCUUCAGAUCUGUUAGUCCAAAAACUAAAUGAUUUAAGGUCAAGUUGUAUGCUAGGCACAAGCACUCUGUAAUAAUGUUAAAUUUCAGUGUGAGCAAUUAGGGAAUGUUUCUGAAACAUUAAACUUGUAUUUAUGUCACUAAAAUUCUAACACAAAUUUUAAAAACAUGUCUCAUACAUAUGCUGUACUAGGCUUCAUGAUGCAUUUCUAAAUUUGUGUAUGAUUUGAAUAUAUGAAAGAAUUUAUACAAGAGUGUUAUUUAAAAUUAUUAAAAAAUAAAUGUAUAUAAUUUGUACUUAUUGUA
Molecule: RNA transcript, 6148 nt
Organism: Galeopterus variegatus (Sunda flying lemur)
Lineage: Eukaryota; Metazoa; Chordata; Mammalia; Dermoptera; Cynocephalidae
Gene: MEGF9
Gene name: multiple EGF-like-domains 9
Exons: 7
Source: RefSeq, a predicted model, not a curated record